UACGGAGGGAGCUAGCGUUGUUCGGAAUUACUGGGCGUAAAGCGCGCGUAGGCGGCUUUGUAAGUUAGAGGUGAAAGCCCGGGGCUCAACCCCGGAACUGCCUUUAAGACUGCAUCGCUUGAAUCCGGGAGAGGUGAGUGGAAUUCCGAGUGUAGAGGUGAAAUUCGUAGAUAUUAGGAAGAACACCAGUGGCGAAGGCGGCUCACUGGCCCGGUACUGACGCUGAGGCGCGAAAGCGUGGGGAGCAAACAGG
Molecule: ribosomal RNA, 253 nt
Filed under: uncultured bacterium
Lineage: Bacteria
Description: partial 16S ribosomal RNA
Rfam family: Bacterial small subunit ribosomal RNA
Source: RNAcentral